GACGUAGGGCGCGAGCGUUGUCCGGAUUUAUUGGGCGUAAAGAGCUCGUAGGCGGCUUGUCGCGUCGACCGUGAAAACCUAGGGCUCAACCCUAGGCUUGCGGUCGAUACGGGCAGGCUAGAGUUCGGUAGGGGAGACUGGAAUUCCUGGUGUAGCGGUGAAAUGCGCAGAUAUCAGGAGGAACACCGGUGGCGAAGGCGGGUCUCUGGGCCGAUACUGACGCUGAGGAGCGAAAGCGUGGGGAGCGAAC
This 250-nucleotide ribosomal RNA is filed under the name uncultured prokaryote. Its description in RNAcentral is "partial 16S ribosomal RNA". It matches the Rfam family "Bacterial small subunit ribosomal RNA", at positions 524 to 773 of the family's 1533-position model. The record is from RNAcentral.